GGAGAGAUGGCUGAGUGGUCGAAAGCGGCAGAUUGCUAAUCUGUUGUAUUAAGUUUAAUACCGAGGGUUCGAAUCCCUCUCUCUCCU
Molecule: transfer RNA, 87 nt
Filed under: Rhizochromulina marina
Lineage: Eukaryota; Dictyochophyceae; Rhizochromulinales
Description: tRNA-Ser
Rfam family: tRNA
About the family: Transfer RNA (tRNA) molecules are approximately 80 nucleotides in length. Their secondary structure includes four short double-helical elements and three loops (D, anti-codon, and T loops).
Source: RNAcentral